Molecule: ribosomal RNA, 144 nt
Filed under: Tomentella sp. N44
Lineage: Eukaryota; Fungi; Basidiomycota; Agaricomycetes; Thelephorales; Thelephoraceae
Description: partial 28S ribosomal RNA
Rfam family: Eukaryotic large subunit ribosomal RNA
Source: RNAcentral
UUUGAUCUCAAAUCAGGUAGGACUACCCGCUGAACUUAAGCAUAUCAAUAAGCGGAGGAAAAGAAACUAACAAGGAUUCCCCUAGUAACUGCGAGUGAAGCGGGAAGAGCUCAAAUUUAAAAUCCGGCGUGCCUCUGGCCGCCC